GUAGGGAAUCUUCCGCAAUGGACGCAAGUCUGACGGAGCAACGCCGCGUGAGUGAAGAAGGUUUUCGGAUCGUAAAACUCUGUUGUUAGAGAAGAACAAGUGCUAGAGUAACUGUUAGCGCCUUGACGGUAUCUAACCAGAAAGCCACGGCUAACUACGUGCCAGCAGCCGCGGUAAUACGUAGGUGGCAAGCGUUGUCCGGAUUUAUUGGGCGUAAAGCGAGCGCAGGCGGUUCCUUAAGUCUGAUGUGAAAGCCCCCGGCUCAACCGGGGAGGGUCAUUGGAAACUGGGGAACUUGAGUGCAGAAGAGGAGAGUGGAAUUCCAUGUGUAGCGGUGAAAUGCGUAGAUAUAUGGAGGAACACCAGUGGCGAAGGCGACUCUCUGGUCUGUAACUGACGCUGAGGCUCGAAAGCGUGGGUAGCAAACAGGAUUAGAUACCCCAGUAGUCC
This 450-nucleotide ribosomal RNA is filed under the name uncultured Carnobacteriaceae bacterium. Its description in RNAcentral is "bacterial SSU rRNA". It matches the Rfam family "Bacterial small subunit ribosomal RNA", at positions 354 to 796 of the family's 1533-position model. The record is from RNAcentral. Lineage: Bacteria; Bacillati; Bacillota; Bacilli; Lactobacillales; Carnobacteriaceae.